AAGAAAAAAUUUAUUUAAAUUUUAAAUUUGGGUUUUUAUAGAUAAAAUAUUUUAAUUUAGAUUAUUUUUAAAGAAAUAAUUAAUAUUAUUAUAGUGUAAAGUAUAGAAAUAGAAUAAAAAUUUUUAUUUUAAAGAAAAAUUUAUUUUUUGUACCUUGUGUAUCAGGGUUUAUUAAUUAAAAAUUAAUAAUUUAAUAUUUUCGAAUUUAAAAGAUUUAAAUAAUUAUUAUUAUUAAUGUAUUAUAAUUAUAUUUAAUAAUUAUUUUGUAAUGAAAUGUUAUUCGUUUUUAAAUAUAUCUAAUUUUUUAAGAAAAAAAUUUAAUUUUAGUUUUAUUUAAUAAAAUUUUAAUUUUUUAAUGUUUUAUUUAAUAAAAUUUAAUAUUUUUAGGGAUGAGCUUAAAAAUAUAUUUUUAUUAAAAAUAAAAAAAUUUUAAAAAAUUAGGAUUAGUAAUUUUCAAAUUUUUAAGUAUGUUAUUAUUUAUUAUAAUUUAUUUUUAAUUUUUAUUUUUUAUAAAUUUUUUAUUAAAAUAUAAGUUAAAAUUUUUUUAACUUAGUAGUAAUGAUAAAAUUAGUAUAAUUAUUUUUAUAUUUAUAAAAAUUUUUAAGAUUAAAUAAAGGAAUUCGGCAAAUAAUUUUUUCACCUGUUUAUUAAAAACAUGUCUUUUUGUUUUAUAUUUAAGGUUUAACCUGCCCCCUGAAAGAUUUAAAUGGCCGCGGUAUUUUGACCGUGCUAAGGUAGCAUAAUCAUUAGUUUUUUAAUUGAAAACUGGAAUGAAGGGUUGGAUGAAAAAAAAUCUGUCUUUGUUUAAAUAAAUAGAAUUUUAUUUUUAAGUUAAAAAGCUUAAAUUAUAUUAAAAGACGAGAAGACCCUAUAGAGUUUUAUAAUAAAAAUUUAAUUUUUAUAAAGUAUUAAGUUAAUUAUUAAAGUAUUAUUAUUUAAUUGGGGUGAUUAAAAAAUUUAAUUAACUUUUUUUAUAUUUUUAUAUUAAUUUAUAAAUAUUUGAUCCAUUUAUAUGAUUAAAAGAUUAAAUUACCUUAGGGAUAACAGCGUAAUUUUAUUGGAGAGUUCAAAUCGAUAAUAAAGAUUGCGACCUCGAUGUUGGAUUAAAAUUUAUUUUGGGUGUAGAAGUUCAAAAAUUGAGUCUGUUCGACUUUUAAAAUUUUACAUGAUCUGAGUUUAAACCGGUGUGAGCCAGGUUGGUUUCUAUCUUUAGUUUAUUAAUAUAUUUUAGUACGAAAGGACCAAAUAUAUAAAUGAUAUUUUUAUUUUUGAUUAAAAUUA
RNAcentral lists this ribosomal RNA (1281 nucleotides) under Galeruca sp. EMHAU-15083109. Its description in RNAcentral is "16S ribosomal RNA". The stretch from base 1040 to 1198 matches the Rfam family "Archaeal large subunit ribosomal RNA", at positions 2542 to 2701 of the family's 2987-position model. Lineage: Eukaryota; Metazoa; Arthropoda; Insecta; Coleoptera; Chrysomelidae. The record is from RNAcentral.